CAACAUCCACUAUCAAAGAUUCUUCGUGCAACUGGUCGGUACACUUUACCAAUCAACAUUACUGCUAGAAACACCCUCAUUAAUAAAGGUGGAUUCUUCGUGGAGCACACAGGAAUUGGGAACGAUGAACAUUGGGAGGUCUUAAUGAGGGCAACUCAGGAGAUUACCUACGAGAGCCUCUGCCUGCCUGAUAAUGUGAAGCACCGUGGCAUUGAACAUUUGAAG
This is a long non-coding RNA of Anguilla anguilla (European eel), 225 nucleotides long. RefSeq lists it as uncharacterized. NCBI's taxonomy places the organism in Eukaryota, Metazoa, Chordata, Actinopteri, Anguilliformes, Anguillidae. The transcript is spliced from 3 exons. The record is from RefSeq and is a predicted model, not a curated record.